UCCCUGGUAGCUCAGUUGGUAGAGCAUGCGACUGUUAAUCGCAGGGUCACUGGUUCGAGUCCAGUCCGGGGAGCCA
This 76-nucleotide transfer RNA is filed under the name Candidatus Margulisbacteria bacterium GWF2_38_17. Its description in RNAcentral is "tRNA-Asn". It matches the Rfam family "tRNA". From Rfam's summary of the family: Transfer RNA (tRNA) molecules are approximately 80 nucleotides in length. Their secondary structure includes four short double-helical elements and three loops (D, anti-codon, and T loops). Lineage: Bacteria; Bacillati; Candidatus Margulisiibacteriota. RNAcentral also lists the same sequence under 1 other name. The record is from RNAcentral.